CAGUCGAACGGCAGCACGGGUGCUUGCACCUGGUGGCGAGUGGCGAACGGGUGAGUAAUACAUCGGAACGUACCUUAUCGUGGGGGAUAACGCAGCGAAAGCUGUGCUAAUACCGCAUACGCCCUGAGGGGGAAAGCGGGGGAUCGAAAGACCUCGCGUGAUUAGAGCGGCCGAUGCCUGAUUAGCUUGUUGGUGGGGUAAAAGCCCACCAAGGCGACGAUCAGUAGCUGGUCUGAGAGGACGAUCAGCCACACUGGGACUGAGACACGGCCCAGACUCCUACGGGAGGCAGCAGUGGGGAAUUUUGGACAAUGGGGGAAACCCUGAUCCAGCAAUGCCGCGUGAGUGAAGAAGGCCUUCGGGUUGUAAAGCUCUUUUGUCAGGGAAGAAACACCGGCUCUAACACAGUCCGGGAAUGACGGUACCUGAAGAAUAAGCACCGGCUAACUACGUGCCAGCAGCCGCGGUAAUACGUAGGGUGCGAGCGUUAAUCGGAAUUACUGGGCGUAAAGCGUGCGCAGGCGGUUAUACAAGACAGGCGUGAAAUCCCCGGGCUUAACCUGGGAAUGGCGCCUGUGACUGUAUAGCUAGAGUGUGUCAGAGGGGGGUAGAAUUCCACGUGUAGCAGUGAAAUGCGUAGAUAUGUGGAGGAAUACCAAUGGCGAAGGCAGCCCCCUGGGAUAACACUGACGCUCAUGCACGAAAGCGUGGGGAGCAAACAGGAUUAGAUACCCUGGUAGUCCACGCCCUAAACGAUGCUGACUAGUUGUUCGGGAUUUACAUCCUGAGUAACGUAGCUACGCGUGAAGUCAGCCGCCUGGGGAGUACGGUCGCAAGAUUAAAACUCAAAGGAAUUGACGG
RNAcentral lists this ribosomal RNA (861 nucleotides) under uncultured bacterium. RNAcentral's name for it is "bacterial SSU rRNA". It matches the Rfam family "Bacterial small subunit ribosomal RNA", at positions 59 to 916 of the family's 1533-position model. The record is from RNAcentral.